GGACCUGGCAGAAACAACUAAGGGCAGCACCCUUCAGAGACACUGGGUUUUGUUCUUUGUAUUCCUACAUAGCAGAGAAGAACAUAGCUGCUCAGGAGCCUGCAGUCUGGACCUAAGCCUUUAGGUCCAACCCAAAAGGUGUUCUGCCUGCAUUUAUGGCUGUACACCACAUGCAAUGUCCACAGAAGCUAGAAAAUGGAAUAGGAUGCCCCAGAACUGGAGUUAUAGA
Mus caroli (Ryukyu mouse) is the source of this 229-nucleotide long non-coding RNA. RefSeq lists it as uncharacterized. Lineage: Eukaryota; Metazoa; Chordata; Mammalia; Rodentia; Muridae. The record is from RefSeq and is a predicted model, not a curated record.